Molecule: unclassified non-coding RNA, 20 nt
Filed under: Mus musculus (house mouse)
Lineage: Eukaryota; Metazoa; Chordata; Mammalia; Rodentia; Muridae
Description: oocyte_clustered_small_RNA5015
Source: RNAcentral
UGCAGCUGGUUGUGGAGUCG